GAUGUAAACAAGAAAUUCUCUGUGAGGUACUUUUUGAACUUGGUGCUUGUGGAUGAAGAAGAUAGGAGAUACUUUAAACAGCAGGAAAUAGUUUUGUGGAGGAAGGCACCCGAGAAACUGCGGAAACGGAACUUCCAUCAGCGCUACGAGUCACCUGAGCCUCGGCCGAGUCUCUCUGCUGAGCAGCCGGAAAUGUGAGCGGGGUCUGGAGAGCAACCAGCCAGGGACACGCGUACCUCUCAGUGACCAGUCGCAGGAGAGGAGAACAUCUUCCACCGAACAUACAUGCAGAUCGCUGUUCACAUGGUCACCCCUCACAGCUUAUGGUGAUAAACUGUGCCUGAUUUGGCUCUGCCCUCCCUGCCAUCUACAGCAAGCAAUCUGUUAGUAUACAAGGACACUUUUUAGAAAGCACUGGAAACAAUAAUGUAAGUAAUAUAGCACAUCUUCAAGGUUGCACGCCUCCCUAGAUGAAGAAAUGUUUUUAAAAGUGCACUCACUGGUAUCCUCUAUGUUCCACAUCAUAGAGCGGAAACAUAGACCUAAACACAUUUUAAAGAGCUUUCUCAUGCAUGCUAGCUGGUGAAUCUGAGUUCAUGGUAACAGUUAAUAAAGGCAAUGGGGUCAGUUUAAAAAAAAGUUCAAGAAAUGUAAUGGCACCCAGCCACACUGUAUUUGCAAUCCACUUAAACGUUGUAAAACAUUUCUAUUUAACUUAUUUAGCCAUCUUCUCUUUUUUUGUUUUGUUCUUUAAAUGCUCCUUAUGUUAAAGGAAUUCUGUCUUUGAAAUAAAAAAGUAUGUGUCUAUAUAUAAAAUAUUUAAAGAGGUUUUGGACUAGAAGCUUUAUAAAACUAGGGCAGUUUGUGUAAUUAUAUUGGGCACAUGUAUUCAACUUGUCAGCCCAGUUUUGAAUAACACACUGGCUUCGUAGUAAAAGAGGGCCACUUAGUUUUGUGAUCCUAAUUAGUUUUGUGAAUUUCUGAGAUGAUUCGUUGCUAUUGAUUGCUAAAUAUCAUCUCUGCUGCAAUUACAUUUCAUACUGUCUAAAUUGUUAGACACCACAGAGAAAUGCUGGAAUUUUGUUGUAUCCUUUGCAUGUCAUCCUGCUAUAAUGUUUCCUAUCACAAGGGGAUGUUAACAUUUUUUUCAUUGUUGCAAAUGUGCUCUUGCAUAUUUUAAGUGGUUUGUGAAUUGAAUGUUUAUUUGGACCUUUUCAUUUUGAAACUGUUUUUGAUUUCACUCUAAAACAAAUGUAUUCUUUUUUUUUUUCUUUUUUUUUUAAACACACUACAUUACUCAUGGAAAUGUCUGUGUACAAAGCCAUUGAGUGCCC
Sinocyclocheilus rhinocerous is the source of this 1334-nucleotide long non-coding RNA. RefSeq lists it as uncharacterized. Lineage: Eukaryota; Metazoa; Chordata; Actinopteri; Cypriniformes; Cyprinidae. The record is from RefSeq and is a predicted model, not a curated record. The transcript is spliced from 2 exons.